AUCGAAUUAAAGUGAUUUGAUUUGAUUUAUUUGGUUUGAAUCAUUAGCACUCUUAAAACCCUACCUAACUCAGGCCCAGAAAAAUAAAAGGCCCAUGGCCUCAACAUACAUAGCAAUCCUAGACCUAAAAACCAUCUGAAGGAUCUGACCCAAGACCUGGAAGACCCAGCAACAACGCCAACGGGUACACGUGAGACCUCUAGCCACCAACCAGGCCGCAAAUCAUUCAUCAAAGCACAAACGCUGGGAAUCUACACAAAACAGAUCCAGCCUUGAAGAACAAAUCCCAAAUGGAGAAACAUAUGCAUGUAAGCUUGGUAGCAGCCACUCCAGCCAGGAGAGCUAGGAGCCAUGAAGAAGCGGGACGAAUUCGGGAAUGGGCGUGGAAGAGCUUGGCAUCUUAGUCUCCUAUAGCCCGAACGGAAGAUAGAGAACACCUCCACAUCCUUGAGAGUGUCAGCCAAACGGGAUAACCCUAUAAGAGAGAACCACAACAACUACAACAUGCAGAUCUCAAACUCCCUCACUUGAUAAGCGCCAUCUACAUAAACACUGAAAACAAUCCACACCUAGAUCUGGGAGAAGGAGAGGGAGGAAACCUCCCUACGACUGGUAAAGAGGCUUCCCCAACCCUUCGUGGUUGGGGAUGACCACCGGUCACGCUAGACGAAAGUGGACUGAGAAACAGAGAUGGGUUUUCCUUGUUAAGUUGCUCGGUAGUGCGCAAAGGUACAACUUUUGUUGCAAUUAUAGUAAAAAUUUUCUUUUCCUGUGUACAUUUAUCCAAUGUUUCAGGUACUGUCUUAUAUAUUAUGGGAUUGGAUAUGGCCUACAGAACUUGCAGCCCGAUUGGUUUUGAUCAACCGUUAACUUGGGUUGUCCCAUUUUUCAUGAGGCCAGCUUGAAUAUAAUUUAAACUUUAAGCUCAAACUCAUUUUGAUGAGUCCCACUCCAAAAUAGAUUCAGUAUGCCCAGAGUCCGAAUUCUGUUUAGAGACAAAUGAACUGAAAAAUCUGUGAGAAACCCAUUGACAAAAUUGUAAUCGUAAUUUGGGUCUGCUAGCUGGAGUUGUACUGCUUCUAAAACAUUAUCAUUAUUGUACACAUUGUCUUUUUGAAUGAAAAAAAUAAAUUAAAAUAGCAUUUUUGCUCAUGGCCUGCAAUUGCAAAUAUGGAAGUUUAG
Molecule: unclassified non-coding RNA, 1182 nt
Filed under: Hevea brasiliensis (rubber tree)
Lineage: Eukaryota; Viridiplantae; Streptophyta; Magnoliopsida; Malpighiales; Euphorbiaceae
Source: RNAcentral